CAUGAAUGAGAAGUGAGAAAGCCAGUUAUGUGAGGUAUUGAGCUCCAGAGUUUUCAUUGAUGUAUGUAUUGUUCACAGGGAAUCAUGAAUGGUAUUGACUCAAUCUUGAUGAUUGAUUGAAUUACAUGUUUAUGUCAUAUGAUCAAGGCCAUGCUUAAAAGCCCUUACUUAGCCAAAUUUUCACCCAAAGUGUUUAAAAUGAUAUAACCCUUUUGAACCUUGGCCUUAAAUAGUAUGAAAACCCUUAGUUGAAUUAAUUUACCUUGGGUUGGGUUGAGAAUAAUUGUAUGUGAUGAAAAGGUUCAAGUUUUGGGUUGUGUGGGGAAAGUGAAAGGCAAAAGAAAAAGCAUUGAGUUCAAAAGUUGAAAAAGAAAAAUACAUGAGAAAGAAAAGAAAAGAAGAAAAGAAAAAGCAUUUAAAUUGAACUUAAUGUAAAAGAAAAAGGGAAGAAGUUGGGAAUGAUUGAGAUUGGUUAAAAAGAGAGUGUGCUUGAACUUUGAAUAAUUAUAACUCUCUUAACUCAAGGAUUUUGUAUUCUAGAAUAACCAUUUUUUCUUGAUAGCCCAGCCACAUUACAAGCCUUGGAAGGGUCCUUGUGAUAACAUUUGCAUGUGAAGAUUUUGAUUGUUUUAGAUGAAUGACAAUAUUGAUUUAUGUGACAUGUGAACAGUAGAGAGUAGAGUGACCUCCUAAACACUUGAGUGAUUGAGUGAAACACUUGCUUGGUGAGAAUUGUCAAAUCCAUGUUUAAAUCUAUGCUUA
This 762-nucleotide long non-coding RNA is filed under the name Vigna radiata. RNAcentral describes it as "long non-coding RNA (VRAD_LNC001164)". The record is from RNAcentral. Lineage: Eukaryota; Viridiplantae; Streptophyta; Magnoliopsida; Fabales; Fabaceae.